Molecule: ribosomal RNA, 419 nt
Filed under: bacterium
Lineage: Bacteria
Description: partial 16S ribosomal RNA
Rfam family: Bacterial small subunit ribosomal RNA
Source: RNAcentral
UGGGGGAUAUUGCACAAUGGGCGAAAGCCUGAUGCAGCGACGCCGCGUGGGGGAUGAAGGCCUUCGGGUUGUAAACUUCUUUUGCUCUGAACAAGGCAUGCUAAUGGGUGUGUUGAGUGUAGGGGUUGAUUAGCGCCGGCUAACUACGUGCCAGCAGCCGCGGUAAUACGUAGGGCGCGAGCGUUGUCCGGAAUUAUUGGGCGUAAAGGGCUUGUAGGUGGCUGGUUGCGUCUGUCGUGAAAGCUCAUGGCUUAACUGUGGGUUUGCGGUGGGUACGGGCCGGCUUGAGUGCAGUAGGGGAGGCUGGAAUUCCUGGUGUAGCGGUGGAAUGCGCAGAUAUCAGGAGGAAUACCGGUGGCGAAGGCGGGUCUCUGGGCUGUUACUGACACUGAGGAGCGAAAGCAUGGGGAGCGAACAGG